RNAcentral lists this ribosomal RNA (1325 nucleotides) under uncultured bacterium. RNAcentral's name for it is "bacterial SSU rRNA". It matches the Rfam family "Bacterial small subunit ribosomal RNA", at positions 28 to 1375 of the family's 1533-position model. The record is from RNAcentral.
GAUGAACGCUGGCGGCGUGCCUAAUACAUGCAAGUCGAACGAGGUGCUUUUGUAGCAAUACGAGAGUAUCCUAGUGGCGAACGGGUGAGUAACGCGUUGGUGACCUGCCCCAAAGUGCGGGAUAACAGUCCGAAAGGAUUGCUAAUACCGCAUGUGGUUUUUGGAUUUAGAAACCAAUCUCUAAAGGAGCAAUCCGCUUUGGGAGGGACCUGCGUCCCAUCAGCUAGUUGGUGAGGUAACGGCCCACCAAGGCUACGACGGGUAGGGGACCUGAGAGGGUGACCCCCCACAAUGGAACUGAAACACGGUCCAUACACCUACGGGUAGCAGCAGUAGGGAAUAUUGGGCAAUGGGCGAAAGCCUGACCCAGCAACGCCGCGUGUGUGAUGAAGGCCUUCGGGUCGUAAAGCACUUUUCUGGGAGAUGAGAAAGGACAGUAUCCCAGGAAUAAGUCUCGGCUAACUACGUGCCAGCAGCCGCGGUAAAACGUAGGAGGCGAGCGUUAUCCGGAUUCACUGGGCGUAAAGCGCGUGCAGGUGGCGUGGUAAGUUGGGCGUGAAAUCUCCCGGCUCAACUGGGAGAGGUCGUCCAAUACUACCGUGCUUGAGAGCAGAAGAGGAAGAUGGAAUUCCCGGUGUAGUGGUGAAAUGCGUAGAUAUCGGGAGGAACACCAGUGGCGAAGGCGAUCUUCUGGUCUGUUUCUGACACUCAGACGCGACAGCUAGGGUAGUAAACGGGAUUAGAGACCCCGGUAAUCCUAGCCGUAAACGAUGUGAACUUGGCGUUGGUGGGUUAAACUCCAUCAGUGCCGUAGCAAACGCGAUGAGUUCACCGCCUGGGGACUACGGCCGCAAGGUUAAAACUCAAAGGAAUUGACGGGGGCCCGCACAAGCAGCGGAGCGUGUGGUUUAAUUCGAUGCUACACGAAGAACCUUACCCAGGCUUGACAUACAGGUGGUAGGGAUCCGAAAGGUGACCGACCCGCAAGGGAGCCUGAACAGGUGUUGCAUGGCUGUCGUCAGCUCGUGUCGUGAGAUGUUCGGUUAAGUCCGCUAACGAGCGCAACCCUCGCUGCGUGUUACAAGUGUCACGCAGGACCGCCGGUAUUAAGCCGGAGGAAGGUGGGGAUGACGUCAAGUCAGCAUGGCCUUUAUGCCUGGGGCUACACACACGCUACAAUGGGCAGUACAAUGGGUUGCUAAACCGCGAGGUGGAGCCAAUCCCCCAAAACUGUCCUCAGUUCAGAUUGCAGGCUGCAACUCGCCUGCAUGAAGCCGGAGUUGCUAGUAAACGCGCGUCAGCUAUAGUGCGUUGAAUACGUUCUC